GGUUGCGAUCAUACCAGCAGUAAUGCACCGGAUCCCAUCAGAACUCCGCAGUUAAGCGUGCUUGGGCGAGAGUAGUACUUGGAUGGGUGACCCCCUGGGAAGUCCUCGUGUUGCAACCC
This 119-nucleotide ribosomal RNA is filed under the name Helianthus annuus (common sunflower). Lineage: Eukaryota; Viridiplantae; Streptophyta; Magnoliopsida; Asterales; Asteraceae. The record is from RNAcentral.